GCCCCCGUAGCUCAGUCGGUCAGAGCGGCGGCCUUUUAAGCCGCGCGGCGUGGGUUCGAGUCCCACCGGGGGCA
Molecule: transfer RNA, 74 nt
Filed under: Solirubrobacterales bacterium
Lineage: Bacteria; Bacillati; Actinomycetota; Thermoleophilia; Solirubrobacterales
Description: tRNA-Lys
Rfam family: tRNA
About the family: Transfer RNA (tRNA) molecules are approximately 80 nucleotides in length.
Source: RNAcentral